This 390-nucleotide ribosomal RNA is filed under the name uncultured bacterium. RNAcentral's name for it is "bacterial SSU rRNA". It matches the Rfam family "Bacterial small subunit ribosomal RNA", at positions 29 to 416 of the family's 1533-position model. The record is from RNAcentral.
AUUGAACGCUGGCGGCAUGCUUUACACAUGCAAGUCGAACGGUAACAGGCCUUCGGGUGGCUGACGAGUGGCGAACGGGUGAGUAAUGCAUCGGAACGUGCCCAAUCGUGGGGGAUAACCGUAGCGAAAGUUACGGCUAAUACCGCAUAAGCCCUGAGGGGGAAAUGGGGACCGCAAGGGCCUCGACGCGAAUGGAGCGGCCGAUGUCAGAUUAGCUAGUUGGUGGGGUAAAGGCCCACCAAGGACGACGAUCUGUAGCGGGUCUGAGAGGAUGAUCCGCCACACUGGGACUGAGACACGGCCCAGACUCCUACGGGAGGCAGCAGUGGGGAAUUUUGGACAAUGGGCGCUAAGCCUGAUCCAAGCCAUGCCGCGUGCGGGACGAAGGCC